Molecule: ribosomal RNA, 498 nt
Filed under: uncultured bacterium
Lineage: Bacteria
Description: partial 16S ribosomal RNA
Rfam family: Bacterial small subunit ribosomal RNA
Source: RNAcentral
GACGAACGCUGGCGGCGUGCCUAAUACAUGCAAGUCGAACGAGAGCGACCGGUGCUUGCACUGGUCAAUCUAGUGGCGAACGGGUGAGUAACACGUGGGUAACCUGCCCAUCAGAGGGGGAUAACAUCCGGAAACGGAUGCUAAAACCGCAUAGGUCUUCGAGCCGCAUGGCUUGAAGAGGAAAAGAGGCGCAAGCUUCUGCUGAUGGAUGGACCCGCGGUGCAUUAGCUAGUUGGUGAGGUAACGGCUCACCAAGGCCGUGAUGCAUAGCCGACCUGAGAGGGUGAUCGGCCACAUUGGGACUGAGACACGGCCCAAACUCCUACGGGAGGCAGCAGUAGGGAAUCUUCCGCAAUGGACGCAAGUCUGACGGAGCGACGCCGCGUGAGUGAAGAAGGUGUUCGGAUCGUAAAACUCUGUUGUUAGAGAAGAACAAGUGCUAGAGUAACUGUUAGCGCCUUGACGGUAUCUAACCAGAAAGCCACGGCUAACUACGUG